GAUGCCAAAAACCCUAAACUCAUCCCAACCCACACCACCGCCUGUCUCUCCCACCCGCCGCCGCCCCAUCUCACCCCAUCCCCAGUCCUGGUCGGUGCCUUCCAAAGGACCAAAUCCCCUAGCGCAGAGACGAGAAGGUUCGCGUGCAGCGCGUCGAGGAGGUCGAGGGCGACGCCAACCACAUCCCUUGAUGAAUCCUUCCCUCAGAGCUUCGAAGACUGGCGCGCGGCGCGAGGAGGCCAAGGGCAACGCCCCACCUCAGCAUCGACCAAUCCUUCCCUCAGUCAACUCAGACAAUGUUGAGAACGAUGCCAUCCCCAGAUUCACCGCAUCUGUUCAUCCCUGCUCGAUUUGGGAAGAUUCCACAUGAACUGUGUUUGUUUCUUGGUUGUAUUUGAUGGAUUUCCUGGAUUUUUGCAGGUGCAGGGCUUACCUACCUGUACACCAAGAACAGGGCGAGCAGGUCCAAGUGCCCUGUCAUCUCGAAGAAGAACCACUGGGAGAUCCACACUGGGGGAGUAAUUGGUUGUUAGUGCAGCUUUACUUUGUUUUUCUGUUUAUUGCAAAUGAGUGUAGUCUCGGUGAUCCUGCAGCGUCAGCAUGCGUUGUCUGUUUUUGUUAUUUAGACCAGAUGAAUCUAGAUUGGUUAAUGGCAGUGGCCCAUUCAUGUGUGUCCCUCUUCCUGCUGUGCUCUUUUUGAUUGAUUAUAUGCCUGACCAGGAUCUAUGCAAAUGUUGUAAUGGGCGAGACUGGCAUGCAGAUUAGAUGACUAAAUCAGGGAUAGACAUUAUAUAAUAAUAUGUUCAUGGCUAGUAACUAGCUAUGAGUAAAGUUUUAUUUUUUCUGUAGUAGUUGCUAUCUUACCAAAUAGACUACUUUCUUACAUUUUCUUGCUCGAGGCUUGGUUAAUAUUAUAGGUUUAACUAGCUCCUAGUUAUUCUGAAAAGUGUAGCAAUUACACUGGAGGAGUCAUGCAGUUACGCACAUGUUGCUGGUCUAAUUGCUUAUAUACUAACCUACUGUUCUUGUGCAGGCAAAAGCACAUAUGCAAAGAAAGCACAUAACCAAGAGGAGUUCAAGAACAAUCAGGAAAGAUGACAAGCCAUCCUUUGCAUCUGUGAGACGGCAGCAGCAAUUUUGCUCUCUUCGUCUCUGUUUGAAGUCAGAGUACUGUGGUGUUUAUGAAAUAAACAUUUUCAGUACUUGUAAUAGCAAAGCAGUACACUAUUUAGUUUAGUUCAGCAAUUGCAGUUUCUUUCUAGAGAUAACCACAGGUCAUGGUUAUCUAAGUUUCGUAUUUGGUGUGCUAUCUAUAUGCUGUACUUUUUUAUUUUAGAACCAGCAACACUUAGCUUGUAUAUGCUGAAUCUAUUGUAUACAGCAACUCAUUAUAUAAAUAAAUAAAUGUCUAUUUGUAUGA
Sorghum bicolor (sorghum) is the source of this 1420-nucleotide long non-coding RNA. RefSeq lists it as uncharacterized. NCBI's taxonomy places the organism in Eukaryota, Viridiplantae, Streptophyta, Magnoliopsida, Poales, Poaceae. The transcript has 2 exons. The record is from RefSeq and is a predicted model, not a curated record.